UAGCAUAUCAAUAAGCGGAGGAAAAGAAACCAACAGGGAUUGCCCUAGUAACGGCGAGUGAAGCGGCAACAGCUCAAAUUUGAAAUCUGGCUCUCGGGCCCGAGUUGUAAUUUGUAGAGGAUGCUUUGAUGCGGUGCCUUCCGAGUUCCCUGGAACGGGACGCCAUAGAGGGUGAGAGCCCCGUCUGGUUGGAUGCCAAAUCUCUGUAAAGCUCCUUCGACGAGUCGAGUAGUUUGGGAAUGCUGCUCUAAAUGGGAGGUAUAUGUCUUCUAAAGCUAAAUACCGGCCAGAGACCGAUAGCGCACAAGUAGAGUGAUCGAAAGAUGAAAAGCACUUUGAAAAGAGAGUUAAAAAGUACGUGAAAUUGUUGAAAGGGAAGCGUUUAUGACCAGACUUGGGCUUGGUUAAUCAUCUGGGGUUCUCCCCAGUGCACUUUUCCAGUCCAGGCCAGCAUCAGUUUUCGCCGGGGGAUAAAGGCUUCGGGAAUGUGGCUCUCUCCGGGGAGUGUUAUAGCCCGUUGCGUAAUACCCUGGCGGGGACUGAGGUUCGCGCAUCUGCAAGGAUGCUGGCGUAAUGGUCAUCAACGACCCGUCUUGAAACACGGACCAAGGAGUCGUCUUCGUAUGCGAGUGUUCGGGUGUCAAACCCCUACGCGUAAUGAAAGUGAACGCAGGUGAGAGCUUCGGCGCAUCAUCGACCGAUCCUGAUGUUCUCGGAUGGAUUUGAGUAAGAGCAUACGGGGCCGGACCCGAAAGAAGGUGAACUAUGCCUGUGUAGGGUGAAGCCAGAGGAAACUCUGGUGGAGGCUCGCAGCGGUUCUGACGUGCAAAUCGAUCGUCAAACAUGGGCAUGGGGGCGAAAGACUAAUCGA
This 871-nucleotide ribosomal RNA is filed under the name Fusarium equiseti. Its description in RNAcentral is "LSU rRNA". It matches the Rfam family "Eukaryotic large subunit ribosomal RNA", at positions 36 to 938 of the family's 3401-position model. The record is from RNAcentral. Lineage: Eukaryota; Fungi; Ascomycota; Sordariomycetes; Hypocreales; Nectriaceae.